Molecule: non-coding RNA, 548 nt
Organism: Castor canadensis (American beaver)
Lineage: Eukaryota; Metazoa; Chordata; Mammalia; Rodentia; Castoridae
Source: RefSeq, a predicted model, not a curated record
AUGGCUGCUCUGCUGGGUGCAAUGUUCACUGGACAGCCACCCGGCCCCCGGCCACCUCCGCAGGGACUACCCGGCCAGGCAGCGCCUGGCGCUGCUAGGAGUUCCAACAGUACCUUGGUGGACGAAUUGGAGUCAUCGUUUGAGGCUUGCUUUGCUUCUCUUGUGAGCCAGCACUAUGUCAGUGGCACUGAUCAGGAAGAAAUUCGAACUGGUGUCGAUCAGUGUAUCCGGAAGUUUCUGGACAUUGCAAGACAGACAGAAUAUUUUUUCCUACAAAAAAGAUUGCAGUUGUCUGUCCAGAAACCAGAGCAAGUUAUCAAAGAGGAUGUCUUGGAACUAAGGAAUGAAUUGCAGAGGAAAGAUGCACUGGUCCAGAAGCACCUAACAAAGCUGAGGCACUGGCAGCAGGUGCUGGAGGACAUCAAUGUGCAGCAUAAGAAGCCAGCUGACAUCCCUCAGGGCUCCUUGGCCUACCUUGAACAGGCAUCUGCCAAUAUCCCUGCACCUCUUAAGCAGACCUAAGGGCAGUUGGUCUGGCCUGCAAGUCA